This 517-nucleotide ribosomal RNA is filed under the name uncultured bacterium. RNAcentral's name for it is "bacterial SSU rRNA". It matches the Rfam family "Bacterial small subunit ribosomal RNA", at positions 15 to 518 of the family's 1533-position model. The record is from RNAcentral.
GAUUAUGGCUCAGAUUGAACGCUGGCGGCGUGCUAACACAUGCAAGUCGCGCGUGAAAGGACUUCGGUCCGAGUAAAGCGGCGCACGGGUGAGUAACGCGUGGAUGAUCUACCCAUGAGUUAGGAAUAACGGCUGGAAACGGUCGCUAAUACCAAAUACGCUCCGAUUUCAACUUCGGGGGAAAGGUGGCCUCUGCUUGCAAGCUACUGCUCAUGGAUGAGUCCGCGUCCCAUUAGCUAGUUGGUGGGGUAACGGCCCACCAAGGCGACGAUGGGUAGCCGGUCUGAGAGGAUGACCGGCCACACUGGGACUGGAACACGGCCCAGACUCCUACGGGAGGCAGCAGUGGGGAAUAUUGCGCAAUGGGCGAAAGCCUGACGCAGCGACGCCGCGUGAGGGAUGAAGGUCCUCGGAUCGUAAACCUCUGUCAGGAGGGAAGAACCGCCACGGUGCUAAUCAGCCGUGGUCUGACGGUACCUCCAAAGGAAGCACCGGCUAACUCCGUGCCAGCCGCUGC